UACGUAGGAUCCAAGCGUUGUCCGGAUUUACUGGGUGUAAAGGGUGCGCAGGCGGGCUCGUUAGUCAGGAGUGAAAUCUCGGCGCUUAACGCCGAAACUGCUUUUGAUACUGCGGGCCUUGAAUCAGCGAGAGACGUGUGGAAUUCCGAGUGUAGCAGUGAAAUGUGUAGAUAUUCGGAAGAACACCAGUGGCGAAGGCAGCACGUUGGCGCUCGAUUGACGCUCAGGCACGAAAGCAUGGGGAUCAAACAGG
RNAcentral lists this ribosomal RNA (253 nucleotides) under uncultured bacterium. RNAcentral's name for it is "partial 16S ribosomal RNA". It matches the Rfam family "Bacterial small subunit ribosomal RNA", at positions 524 to 776 of the family's 1533-position model. The record is from RNAcentral.